ACGACUCAAAAAUUAUUUCAAAGUACAUUCUCAUAGUCAGAAGAUCAUCUGUUAAAAUCCAUUUCUUAGAUAUAUGAACAUAAAUCGGCACAUGUUUAAUAAACGAGUACGAAGUCAUUCAUCUUUCCUUAUCAGUGGCAAGUGAUUUGGCUUCGUUUCUGAUAGUGAUACGUUAAUAAGACCAUCGAUAAUUAUCAGUUCUCUUCUUUCGCUAAGCCGGUUAUUUUUAUAACCGCGGGUAAGAAAGCCCCAUAGAUACGAACUUCGCCGAGUUACUACUAAGCGAGAUCCAUGGAUGCUAAAGCUCGCUCUUUAACAACCGAGUCUAGAAAGUAGAGAAGAUAAAGACAUUAAUGUCUGUAUUCUCAGUAAACUAGUUUUUGAAAGCGUAAAUACAUUUUCUGUCAAUUAUCUUGAGUUAACUUCGCCAAUAUUUUGACUCUUUGCUACGUAA
Molecule: non-coding RNA, 454 nt
Organism: Schizosaccharomyces pombe (fission yeast)
Lineage: Eukaryota; Fungi; Ascomycota; Schizosaccharomycetes; Schizosaccharomycetales; Schizosaccharomycetaceae
Source: the annotation of a GenBank genome assembly